UACGUAGGGUGCAAGCGUUAUCCGGAAUUAUUGGGCGUAAAGCGAUCACAGGUGGACAAGCAGGUCUGGUGUUAAAUACCCACGGCUCAACCGGGGUGCUGCAUCGGAAACCUCUUGACUAGAGGAAGGCAAAGGCAGGUGGAAUUUCCAUUGUAGGGGUUAAAUCCGUAGAUAAUGGAAGGAACACCAAAAGCGAAGGCAGCCUGCUGGGCCUUUCCUGACACUGCUUGAUCGAAAGCGUGGGGAGCAAAAGGG
Molecule: ribosomal RNA, 255 nt
Filed under: uncultured bacterium
Lineage: Bacteria
Description: partial 16S ribosomal RNA
Rfam family: Bacterial small subunit ribosomal RNA
Source: RNAcentral